UUGUUCAAAAAAAAAAAAAAUUAUUUAGUUCUGAAACCCAGAAAAAAUAAUCUUAUGGAGAAAGCGGGGUCAGAACGGAUGGAGAAGAAGGAAGAGGAGUUGAAGAGAGAGACAGAACCCCUGAGAUGAUUAACAAACAAGGGUUUGGUUUUAUUUUUGUCAUGAUAAAUUUACUCGGAAUUGUUUUAAUAAUUCUGAAUUUUAAUAUUUGUUCUAUAACAGUUAUACUAAUACUACGUAAAUUAUUUUAAUUUAAUUGAAUUGGGAUUUUCCCAGUGCAAUCAUCGACUACGGCGGGGAUUCUUCUUCUGAUUAUGAUUCUGAGGAUUAUAAAGCUAAUGCUUACAAAUAUGAUGACGAUUCUGACUUUUGUUGUGGUAAAUUUGAAGAGUUUUCAGACGACGAGGAAAUAGAGUAUGAUUGGAUUGCAAACGGAAGGCUUCAUAGUAUUCUUACUUGGGGUGAACAGACUGAUUCCGACGUAGUACUUCCUGCACUCUGUACGCCCAGUAUCUGUGUUAUUUUCUCGGACGGCACUACAGAAUACAUUCCUAUUGAUUCAGAUAAACCCCUUCCAAUGGAGCUGUAUAAUAAGGAUCACAUAAUUCACGAUUUCUUUCGAGAAACUAAAGAUAUGUAUGAAAUUACGACCAAAGAUGGUUUCAAGGUCCAAAUAGAUUCAUUAGUAAAGAAACCAAAUCAGGAUCUUGAGCGUCAGAUUGCAGGGCUUGCUUUGUCAUAUUUCAAAAAUACACAGGUCUGUUGUUCAUGUCCAUUGAUUUCCUAGUUUGUAUUUUGUUUCAUAUAUUUUACUCUUUUUUUUUUUUUUUUUUUUAUUUAACAUCAAUUUCCAAUACUUUCUCUUUGCAAUUGGAGGGAAGGGGUUGGAAAGGAAUAGAAUAUCUCUAGAUUGAUAUUGUUGGAGUUUUUUAACUCGAAAUGCUAGAAUCCCUUGAUAAAGUUUUUGUUUCUCUUAUUUGAUAUAAUUGUCUAGGUUAGUGAGAAAUGUGGAGAGAGCCCUAAAUAUUGAUUUUUUUUUUAAAUAAAAACAAAGUAAGCCUGAAUUCAUA
Chenopodium quinoa (quinoa) is the source of this 1070-nucleotide long non-coding RNA. RefSeq lists it as uncharacterized. The record is from RefSeq and is a predicted model, not a curated record. NCBI's taxonomy places the organism in Eukaryota, Viridiplantae, Streptophyta, Magnoliopsida, Caryophyllales, Amaranthaceae. The transcript has 4 exons.